RNAcentral lists this ribosomal RNA (2789 nucleotides) under fermentation metagenome. Its description in RNAcentral is "bacterial LSU rRNA". It matches the Rfam family "Bacterial large subunit ribosomal RNA". The record is from RNAcentral.
AGUGCAUGUGGUGGAUGCCUUGGCAGUCAGAGGCGAUGAAAGACGUAAUAGCCUGCGAUAAGCUCCGGGGAGGCGGCAAAUAUCCUGUGAUCCGGAGAUUUCUGAAUGGGGAAACCCACUUACCAUAAGGUAGGUAUCAUAACAUGAAUACAUAGUGUUACGAGGCGAACGAGGGGAAGUGAAACAUCUCAGUACCCUUAGGAAAAGAAAUCAAUUGAGAUUCCCUCAGUAGCGGCGAGCGAACGGGGAAAAGCCCAUUAAGUCAUAUAAGCUUUAGUGGAAUGCUCUGGGAAGUGCAACCAUAGUAGGUGAUAGUCCUGUACACGAAAGGGCUUAUAUGAUGAUGUCGAGUAGGGCGAGGCACGUGAAACCUUGUCUGAAUAUGGGGGGACCAUCCUCCAAGGCUAAAUACUCCUGACUGACCGAUAGUGAACCAGUACCGUGAGGGAAAGGCGAAAAGAACCCCUGUGAGGGGAGUGAAAUAGAUCCUGAAACCGCAUGCAUACAAGCAGUGGGAGCCGACUUGUUCGGUGACUGCGUACCUUUUGUAUAAUGGGUCAGCGACUUAUAUUCAGUAGCGAGGUUAACCGAAUAGGGGAGCCGUAGAGAAAUCGAGUCUUAAUAGGGCGUUUAGUUGCUGGGUGUAGACCCGAAACCGGGUGAUCUAUCCAUGAGCAGGUUGAAGGUUGGGUAACACUAACUGGAGGACCGAACCCACUGUCGUUGAAAAGCCAGGGGAUGACUUGUGGAUAGGGGUGAAAGGCUAAUCAAACUCGGUGAUAGCUGGUUCUCCCCGAAAGCUAUUUAGGUAGCGCCUCGGACGAAUACCAUUGGGGGUAGAGCACUGUUUCGGCUAGGGGGUCAUCCCGACUUACCAAACCGAUGCAAACUCCGAAUACCAAUGAGUACUAUCCGGGAGACAGACUGCGGGUGCUAACGUCCGUAGUCAAGAGGAAAACAAUCCAGACCGCCAGCUAAGGCCCCAAAAUUAUAGUUAAGUGGGAAACGAUGUGGGAAGGCAUAGACAGCUAGGAGGUUGGCUUAGAAGCAGCCACCCUUUAAAGAAAGCGUAAUAGCUCACUAGUCGAGUCGGCCUGCGCGGAAGAUGUAACGGGGCUAAAACUAGCAACCGAAGCUGCGGCUGCAUACUUUGUAUGUGGGGUAGGGGAGCGUUCUGUAAGCCGUCGAAGGUGUGUUGAGAAGCAUGCUGGAGGUAUCAGAAGUGCGAAUGCUGACAUGAGUAACGAUAAGGGGAGUGAAAAACUUCCCCGCCGAAAGACCAAGGGUUCCUAUCCCAUGCUAAUCAGGGUAGGGUGAGUCGGCCCCUAAGGCGAGGCAGAAAUGCGUAGUCGAUGGGAAGCAGGUUAAUAUUCCUGCACCUCGCGUAAGUGCGAUGGAGGGACGGAGAAGGUUAGGUGUACCGGGCGUUGGUUGUCCCGGGGAAAGGCGGUAGGUUUGGAUCUUUGGCAAAUCCGGGAUCCUUUAAGACCGAGCACCGAGACGAGUCUUUAAGACGAAGUCACUGAUACCACGCUUCCAGGAAAAGCUCCUAAGCUUCAGCUUACGCAGACCGUACCGUAAACCGACACAGGUGGGUAGGAUGAGAAUUCUCAGGCGCUUGAGAGAACUCGGGUGAAGGAACUAGGCAACAUGGCACCGUAACUUCGGGAGAAGGUGCACCCCGACCGGUGGCCCAUGCGGGUAUAAGCUGGUGGUGGUCGAAGUGACCAGGCCGCUGCGACUGUUUAUCAAAAACACAGCACUCUGCAAACACGAAAGUGGACGUAUAGGGUGUGACGCCUGCCCGGUGCUGGAAGGUUAAUUGAUGGGGUCAGCCGCAAGGCGAAGCUCUUGAUCGAAGCCCCAGUAAACGGCGGCCGUAACUAUAACGGUCCUAAGGUAGCGAAAUUCCUUGUCGGGUAAGUUCCGACCUGCACGAAUGGCAUAAUGAUGGGGGCGCUGUCUCCAGCAGAGACUCAGUGAAAUCGAAUUCGCCGUGAAGAUGCGGUGUACCCGCGGCUAGACGGAAAGACCCCGUGAACCUUUACUGCAGCUUGACAUUGAACUUUGAUCUUACUUGUGUAGGAUAGGUGGGAGGCUUUGAAACCGAGACGCUAGUUUCGGUGGAGCCAAUCUUGAAAUACCACCCUGGUAAUAUUGAGGUUCUAACUCUGCUCCAUAAUCUGGAGCGAGGACCAUGUCUGGUGGGUAGUUUGACUGGGGCGGUCUCCUCCUAAAGAGUAACGGAGGAGUACGAAGGUGCGCUCAGACCGGUCGGAAAUCGGUCGUAGAGUAUAAAGGCAAAAGCGCGCUUGACUGCGAGACAGACACGUCGAGCAGGUACGAAAGUAGGUCUUAGUGAUCCGGUGGUUCUGUAUGGAAGGGCCAUCGCUCAACGGAUAAAAGGUACUCUGGGGAUAACAGGCUGAUACCGCCCAAGAGUUCAUAUCGACGGCGGUGUUUGGCACCUCGAUGUCGGCUCAUCUCAUCCUGGGGCUGAAGCAGGUCCCAAGGGUAUGGCUGUUCGCCAUUUAAAGAGGUACGCGAGCUGGGUUUAGAACGUCGUGAGACAGUUCGGUCCCUAUCUACCGUGGGCGCUGGAAAUUUGAGAGGAUCUGCUCCUAGUACGAGAGGACCAGAGUGGACGAACCUCUGGUGUACCGGUUGUGACGCCAGUCGCAUCGCCGGGUAGCUAUGUUCGGAAGGGAUAACCGCUGAAAGCAUCUAAGCGGGAAGCCUACCUCAAGAUAAGAUUUCCCUAGGAAUUUAUUCCUCUAAAGAGCCGUUGA